AGUGAACGCUGGCGGUAGGCCUAACACAUGCAAGUCGAACGGCAGCACAGUAAGAGCUUGCUCUUACGGGUGGCGAGUGGCGGACGGGUGAGGAAUACAUCGGAAUCUACUUUUUCGUGGGGGAUAACGUAGGGAAACUUACGCUAAUACCGCAUACGACCUACGGGUGAAAGCAGGGGAUCUUCGGACCUUGCGCGAUUGAAUGAGCCGAUGUCGGAUUAGCUAGUUGGCGGGGUAAAGGCCCACCAAGGCGACGAUCCGUAGCUGGUCUGAGAGGAUGAUCAGCCACACUGGAACUGAGACACGGUCCAGACUCCUACGGGAGGCAGCAGUGGGGAAUAUUGGACAAUGGGCGCAAGCCUGAGCCAGCCAUACCGCGUGGGUGAAGAAGGCCUUCGGGUUGUAAAGCCCUUUUGUUGGGAAAGAGAAGCAGCAGGUUAAUACCCCGCUGUUCUGACGGUACCCAAAGAAUAAGCACCGGCUAACUUCGU
RNAcentral lists this ribosomal RNA (491 nucleotides) under uncultured bacterium. Its description in RNAcentral is "partial 16S ribosomal RNA". It matches the Rfam family "Bacterial small subunit ribosomal RNA", at positions 29 to 506 of the family's 1533-position model. The record is from RNAcentral.